CUCUAUUUCAUAAAUAAAAGGUACAUGAGUUAUUUAUACUAGUGGGAGAAGGAAAAGUCUUCAUAACUUGGACGAUGUGGGACUAAUUCAUAACACAAAAAUCACUAUCCUAAACAAUAUGGGACUUGUAUUCCCUUAUUACAAUUAACUAAUAUAAUUGACCUACUAACUCUACUUGCUCCUGCGUCAUUCUCCUUGGGUUGAAAGAACUCUUGCGUGAAAAGACUUGUGAUAGCAGAUGAUUUCCUUGAUGAAUCCACACCAAAAGAUCUCCUUGAUGAAUCCACACCAAAGACCCACACUCACAAAUCAGAUAAAAUUUUACAAGAUCCGUGGCAGCAGACGAUCGCAUUGAUGAAUCCACACCAAAAAAAUUCCAUUGGCGAAUCCACGCCAAAAACCUGCACCUACAAAUCAAAUAAAAUUCCACUAAAGCAAGGUGAAAGCCACAAGGACCGACCUUGCUCUGAUACCAAACUGACGCCGGGACGUCGCUUGGGAUACCAAUCUUGGCGAGGUUAACAACCCCACUAUGGUGACAUAGUUUAGAUUCACCAAUCUUGGCGAGGUUAGUAACCCUACUAUGGUGAAAAUAGCCAUAAACCCACCUUGGUCGGCCAAGCCAAGGAUGCACCUCUUACUCUCAAAGAGUCUAGAGGAAAAUAAGCACACAGCUUAUUUUAUAUUCAAAAAUCAACUUCAACUCUAUUUCAUAAAUAAAAGGUACAUGCGUUAUUUAUACUAGUAGGGGAAGGAAAAGUCUUCAUGACUCGGACGAUGUGGGACUAAAAUAUAACACAAAGUUCACUAUCCUAAACAAUAUGGGACUUAUAUUCCCUUAUUACAAUUAACUAAUAUAAUUAACCUACUAACUCUACUUGCUCCUGCGUCAGUUAAAGUCAUCAGAUGUAAUUUUUUAAACUUUUGAAAGUUAUAUCACACUUUCUU
Molecule: long non-coding RNA, 948 nt
Filed under: Arachis ipaensis
Lineage: Eukaryota; Viridiplantae; Streptophyta; Magnoliopsida; Fabales; Fabaceae
Description: long non-coding RNA (AIPA_LNC002177)
Source: RNAcentral